RNAcentral lists this ribosomal RNA (492 nucleotides) under uncultured bacterium. RNAcentral's name for it is "partial 16S ribosomal RNA". It matches the Rfam family "Bacterial small subunit ribosomal RNA", at positions 29 to 507 of the family's 1533-position model. The record is from RNAcentral.
AGUGAACGCUGGCGGUAGGCCUAACACAUGCAAGUCGAACGGCAGCACAGUAAGAGCUUGCUCUUACGGGUGGCGAGUGGCGGACGGGUGAGGAAUACAUCGGAAUCUACUUUUUCGUGGGGGAUAACGUAGGGAAACUUACGCUAAUACCGCAUACGACCUACGGGUGAAAGCAGGGGAUCUUCGGACCUUGCGCGAUUGAAUGAGCCGAUGUCGGAUUAGCUAGUUGGCGGGGUAAAGGCCCACCAAGGCGACGAUCCGUAGCUGGUCUGAGAGGAUGAUCAGCCACACUGGAACUGAGACACGGUCCAGACUCCUACGGGAGGCAGCAGUGGGGAAUAUUGGACAAUGGGCGAAAGCCUGAUCCAGCCAUACCGCGUGGGUGAAGAAGGCCUUCGGGUUGCAAAGCCCUUUUGUUGGGAAAGAAAAGCAGCAGGUUAAUACCCCGCUGUUCUGACGGUACCCAAAGAAUAAGCACCGGCUAACUUCGUG